CGUAGAAGUGUCUCGUAACUCAAGCAGGAGAGAUUACAGUGUCCUAGAGGAAGGUCCCAUCUUCCAGCAAUGAUCUUGAGGACCAGCUAAAGAUGGGAAUAUCAUCAAGGAACAUCAUUUCCAACAUCAUUCUCUGAAAUAGAAGAAGAAUAAUAAAAAAGAAUUAAGAAGUGUUUUAAAAUGAA
Long non-coding RNA from Frieseomelitta varia, 185 nucleotides. RefSeq lists it as uncharacterized. The transcript has 2 exons. Lineage: Eukaryota; Metazoa; Arthropoda; Insecta; Hymenoptera; Apidae. The record is from RefSeq and is a predicted model, not a curated record.